GGCUUGUUGAUUUUUAUUUCAAGUCAAACCUGCCCAAUGAUGUUGAUUGAAUGGCCGCAGUAUCUUUAACUGUGCAAAGGUAGCAUAAUCACUAGUUUUUUAAUUGAAGGCUUGAAUGAAAGGUUAAAUGAGAAAGUUACUGUCUCUAGAAAAAUUUAUUAGAAUUUUAUUUUUAAGUGAAAAAGCUUAAAUGUUGAUAGAAGACGAGAAGACCCUAUAGAGUUUUAUAUUUAAGUGAAGAGUUCUAGCUUUAGGAGUUUAUAAGUGGAUUUAAAUUUAAGUAUUUGAUUGGGGUGAUUGAAAAAUUUGAUAAACUUUAAUUAUAUAAUUACACUAAUGUGUGAUUUUUUGAUCCUAAUAUUUAGAUUAAAAGAUGAAAUUACCUUAGGGAUAACAGCGUAAUUUUCUUUAGAGUUCUUAUCGAAGAGAAAGAUUGCGACCUCGAUGUUGGAUUAAAAUUUAUUGUUGGUGCAGAAGCUAGCAUAUUAGGUCUGUUCGACCUUUAAAAUUUUACAUGAUCUGAGUUUAAACCGGUGUGAG
RNAcentral lists this ribosomal RNA (540 nucleotides) under Trigonopterus sp. 655 AR-2022a. RNAcentral's name for it is "partial large subunit ribosomal RNA". It matches the Rfam family "Bacterial large subunit ribosomal RNA", at positions 1832 to 2625 of the family's 2925-position model. The record is from RNAcentral. Lineage: Eukaryota; Metazoa; Arthropoda; Insecta; Coleoptera; Curculionidae.